Molecule: ribosomal RNA, 492 nt
Filed under: uncultured bacterium
Lineage: Bacteria
Description: partial 16S ribosomal RNA
Rfam family: Bacterial small subunit ribosomal RNA
Source: RNAcentral
AGUGAACGCUGGCGGUAGGCCUAACACAUGCAAGUCGAACGGCAGCACAGUAAGAGCUUGCUCUUACGGGUGGCGAGUGGCGGACGGGUGAGGAAUACAUCGGAAUCUACUUUUUCGUGGGGGAUAACGUAGGGAAACUUACGCUAAUACCGCAUACGACCUACGGGUGAAAGCAGGGGAUCUUCGGACCUUGCGCGAUUGAAUGAGCCGAUGUCGGAUUAGCUAGUUGGCGGGGUAAAGGCCCACCAAGGCGACGAUCCGUAGCUGGUCUGAGAGGAUGAUCAGCCACACUGGAACUGAGACACGGUCCAGACUACUACGGGAGGCAGCAGUGGGGAAUAUUGGACAAUGGGCGGAAGCCUGAUCCAGCCAUACGGCGUGGGUGAAGAAGACCUUCGGGUUGUAAAGCCCUUUUGUUGGGAAAGAAAAGCAGCAGGUUAAUACCCCGCUGUUCUGACGGUACCCAAAGAAUAAGCACCGGCUAACUUCGUG